Molecule: ribosomal RNA, 253 nt
Filed under: uncultured bacterium
Lineage: Bacteria
Description: partial 16S ribosomal RNA
Rfam family: Bacterial small subunit ribosomal RNA
Source: RNAcentral
UACGUAGGGUGCGAGCGUUAAUCGGAAUUACUGGGCGUAAAGUGUGCGCAGGCGGCCGAGCAAGUCGAGUGUGAAAGCCCCGAGCUUAACUUGGGAACUGCGCUCGAAACUACUUGGCUAGAGUGUGGCAGAGGGAGGUGGAAUUCCACGUGUAGCGGUGAAAUGCGUAGAGAUGUGGAGGAACACCGAUGGCGAAGGCAGCCUCCUGGGCCAACACUGACGCUCAUGCACGAAAGCGUAGGGAGCAAACAGG